RNAcentral lists this transfer RNA (69 nucleotides) under Brotogeris cyanoptera. Its description in RNAcentral is "tRNA-Glu". Lineage: Eukaryota; Metazoa; Chordata; Aves; Psittaciformes; Psittacidae. The record is from RNAcentral. RNAcentral also lists the same sequence under 1 other name.
GUUCUUAUAGUUGAGUGUCAACGGUGGUUUUUCAGGCCACAGACCUUGGGUAGGCCCCAAGUGGGAACU